GGGCCAGGAGUCCAACCAAUCCAACCAGUUUACCGUGUAUGUACAUCGCUUCCUACAUUAGAAUAGACAACGACUGACUAUGUUCAAUGUAUGUGCCAAAUGGGUGGUAGGAGAGUGGCGGUGGCACUAAAUAGAUUUUAGAGGCAGUGAAAGGUAUGAGAAUCUCUCUCCGUCUUUGUGCCCUUGACCUUUGGUGACGCUGUCCAGAUGCAUGUUAUGCUGCAGAAACCUCAUCUGGAUCAUCAGGUAUUGGUAGAGGGGCAAGUUGUGGUAUUGGUAACUAUGUAAAUCGCCUUUCAUUUGAGCAUAUAAAGUGGCCCUUGCCCUUCGUUGAAUUUCACUGGCCAGUGGUUCUUGAAGCUGCCUAGUCUUAAUAAUUAUAUUCUUAGCCUCGUCUACCUGAAAGCAAAGUUAGAAGGAUGUAAAAUUAUCGUUAUAGUAUUAAAAUAUUUAAUUAGAAAAAUAGUAUUGUCUAGUGAUUAUCGCUAAAUCAACAACCACGCCUCUAUGUGGUAUCCACUUGCGAGAUAUGCACUGAUUCCUCUCCACAUGCUGUGAAUGGUAAUUGGUGAAGUUGAGCUAAUUAUCUCUUAAAUAACCUUAUUUGCGUGACAAUUCUAGAACUGGAUUCAACGUGCAUUCACCAUACCCCAAUUAGUAUUUGAUUCUCAUAAAGACGUGGAUUAAAGUUUAUCGUCUUGCAAUGGGUCAUAUGAUAUGGGUUAUUUAGGCUCAAAUUGACGCAUGACUCUGUCCAACUACUGCCACCCAGUAACAUGCAAACAAAUGAGUGGCACCAUGGAUCUCCACAUGUUCUUCCCUGCAAACAAUAAGUUGGGAGAUCCUGUAUAUCAUCGUUCAAAUAUGGUUCCUAAACUAUCUGCAAUUGGCAACAAGAGAUGAACACAUGGUGUUUAUAUUAGUUGAAAGAAAUAAAAAUUACAGACAAUAAUUAACAACAAAAAAUUUUAACCUCAUUUUAGCCCAUCCUGUAUAUCUUGUAUCUAAUUUAUACUGGCACAUGUGUUACCACAUUAGUUAUUUGUCAUGCUUGACCCUACCUGCAAUGUUAUAUGUUAACAAUUUUUAAUUAAUGAAAUAUUUAAAAACCAUUAACAAUAUAAUAAUCCAUCAUAUGUACCGGCUAUUCAGUGGUGCACUUUCAAGUGGCGAUCUGAUAGCAAUAGUCAGAGCGAGUGAUUUAAAUCAAUUCUAAGCCCAUAUUUAUAGUAUAUGUAGCAUUCCACCAAUUUGUUGCACGUUUAGAUCAGUCGCACGACAAAGC
Molecule: unclassified non-coding RNA, 1285 nt
Filed under: Hevea brasiliensis (rubber tree)
Lineage: Eukaryota; Viridiplantae; Streptophyta; Magnoliopsida; Malpighiales; Euphorbiaceae
Source: RNAcentral